This 468-nucleotide ribosomal RNA is filed under the name uncultured bacterium. RNAcentral describes it as "partial 16S ribosomal RNA". It matches the Rfam family "Bacterial small subunit ribosomal RNA", at positions 28 to 507 of the family's 1533-position model. The record is from RNAcentral.
GACGAACGCUGGCGGCGUGCUUAAUACAUGCAAGUCGAACGAACAGACGCUGCUUUUGUUGGUUUCUCGAUUGGCGCACGCGUGUGUGUAACGUGUGUAACCCUCCCUUAACUGUCUGAUAUCUUUUGGAAACUGCGGCUAUAACACGGUAUGAUCUCCUGCUCCAUGUUGUUGGUUGGAAAGAUUCGGCGGUUGGGGAUGGACUCGCGGCUUCUCCGCUUGUUGGUGUGGUAGUGGCUUACCAAGGCUUUGACGGGUAGCCGGCCUGAGAGGGUGACCGGCCACAAUGCGACUGAGAGACGGCCCAGACUCCUACGGGAGGCAGCAGUGGGGAAUAUUGCACAGUGGGCGGAAGCCUGAUGCAGCAACGCCGCGUGCGGGAUGACGGCCUUCGGGUUGUAAACCGCUUUGGCCGGAGACGAAGCGUGAGUGACGGUAAUGGGUAAAGAAGCACCGGCUAACUACGUG